RNAcentral lists this ribosomal RNA (257 nucleotides) under uncultured bacterium. Its description in RNAcentral is "partial 16S ribosomal RNA". It matches the Rfam family "Bacterial small subunit ribosomal RNA", at positions 524 to 777 of the family's 1533-position model. The record is from RNAcentral.
UACAGAGGGGGCAAGCGUUGUUCGGAAUUACUGGGCGUAAAGGGCGCGUAGGCGGCCUGUUAAGUCGAACGUGAAAUCCCCGGGCUCAACCCGGGAACUGCGUCCGAUACUGGCAGGCUUGGAUCCGGGAGAGGGAUGCGGAAUUCCAGGUGUAGCGGUGAAAUGCGUAGAUAUCUGGAGGAACACCGGUGGCGAAAGGCGGCAUCCUGGACCGGCAUUGACGCCUGAGGCGCGAAAGCUAGGGGGAGCAAAACGGG